Pipistrellus kuhlii (Kuhl's pipistrelle) is the source of this 1665-nucleotide long non-coding RNA. RefSeq lists it as uncharacterized. Lineage: Eukaryota; Metazoa; Chordata; Mammalia; Chiroptera; Vespertilionidae. The transcript has 2 exons. The record is from RefSeq and is a predicted model, not a curated record.
CCUUCAAUAUUUCAUGUCAUGCUGUGAAACUCUUUAUCUGACCUUCAAUUCUAAAUGAUAGCUUUGCUUGGUAGAGCAAUCUUGGCUGUAAUUUCUUCCUAUUCAUUACUUUGAAUAUUUCUUGCCAUUCCCUUCUGGCCUGCAAAGUUUCUGUUGAAAAAUCAGCUGAAAGUCAUCUGGGUGCUGUCUUGUAGGUAACUAACUGCUUUUCUGAUGAUGUUUUGAAAAUUCUCUCUUUGUCUUUAAACCUUGGCAUUUUAAUUAUGAUGUGUCUUGGUGUGUGCCUGUUUGAGACUCUUUGUACCUCCUAGACGUGUAAGUCUAUUUCUUUCACCAGGUAGUGGGGAGUUUUCUUUCAUUAUUUCUUCAAAUAGGUUUUCAAUAUAUCACUCUCUCUCUCUUCUUCUCCUGGCACCCCCAUAGUAUGAAUGUUUGUAUGCUUGGAUUAUUAUAUGUAAAUUAUUCUUUAUUUCAGUUAGUGUAUGCUUAAUUUCUGACUGGUUCUUAUUCAGGUCACCUAUGUUCUCACUAAUUUUCUUGAAAUUCUCAUUCAUAUCCUUGAAAGUCUCACCAAGUCCCUUGAAGAUACUUGAGCAGACUCAUUAAUAUACUUGAGCAACCUCAUAACCAUUGUUUUGAACUCCAUAUCUAGUAGUUUGCUUGCUUUCAUUUAAUUUAGUUGUUGGUUUUUUUUCUGGAGAUUUCUUCUGUGUUUCCCCCCCCCCCCCCAUUUAUUACAUGAACCCUUUCCACUCUUUUGAAAAGUCUGACACACACUAAGGUAGAAUUCCCAAUUAAAGAAAGGGCCCCCAAAUCAGUUUUUAAAUUUUGAUCAAAAAACAAUCUUUGGUUUUUGAUAUGAUCCGUAGAUGUGAAUAUCACCUCUUUCAUGUGCUGUUUUCUUGAGCUUGAGCAUAUUACUGACUCUUUGCAUGUCUAUAUUUUCAUUUAUAAAAUGUGUGUAGAUAUGGUAUCUGUGCUAUAGGUUGACCGGAAUAAAUUCAGUUAGGUAUGCAAAGUCCUUUGAUCAGUACCAGGUGCACAGUAGGUGCUCAGUAAAUAUAAGUUGUCAUUAUGUUUUAAGGAUGGCUGCUUUUCAUAUCACCCAUCCUCUUCCUUUAUUUGUUAAAUUUAAAGCAAUCAAACCUUGGUGAAAAUAUACUCUGUUGUUGACCUACUUUCCUUGCUCCACACCCUCUUCAGUCAAGCUGUUGCAGAGGAGAGGAAGCCUGGGAUGCUCCCAGAAUCACGUGCUGCUCACCUCCUGUGCUGAACCCCAAAGCUGAAGUCUGGACUACAACAAAAACGUUGGGCUACUGGUGUAUAUAGAGAAAAAACUUGGUGGCACUAUUUGAAUUUCUGAGUAUUUUUUUAAAAUUAUAAAAUAGAGAAAGGACCAAGCUAAACCCCUAUGCAUUCAUGAAACAAUCAAGAAAGUACAAGCCAAGGUACAUCUACUAUGGAGAGAUAACACUAGGAGGGCACUUGAAGGGAAGCUCCUGUCACACAAUGCUACCUCACCUGAAAACCUCUUUUACUGCUCUGGCCCAAGGGACCAAAUCCAUGAGUUUAUCCCUCUCUGGGUUCCACAGAGAUCCCAUUAUUUUAAUUGAGAGGUGUGUUUCUCUUUAACACCUCUAGAGGGCAGAACUAAACAGAGUGCCA